Molecule: ribosomal RNA, 497 nt
Filed under: uncultured bacterium
Lineage: Bacteria
Description: partial 16S ribosomal RNA
Rfam family: Bacterial small subunit ribosomal RNA
Source: RNAcentral
GACGAACGCUGGCGGCGUGCCUAAUACAUGCAAGUUGAGCGAUGAAGAUUGGUGCUUGCACCAAUUUGAAGAGCAGCGAACGGGUGAGUAACGCGUGGGGAAUCUGCCUUUGAGCGGGGGACAACAUUUGGAAACGAAUGCUAAUACCGCAUAAUAACUUUAAACAUAAGUUUUAAGUUUGAAAGAUGCAAUUGCAUCACUCAAAGAUGAUCCCGCGUUGUAUUAGCUAGUUGGUGAGGUAAAGGCUCACCAAGGCGAUGAUACAUAGCCGACCUGAGAGGGUGAUCCGCCACAUUGGGACUGAGACACGGCCCAAACUCCUACGGGAGGCAGCAGUAGGGAAUCUUCGGCAAUGGACGAAAGUCUGACCGAGCAACGCCGCGUGAGUGAAGAAGGUUUUCGGAUCGUAAAACUCUGUUGGUAGAGAAGAACGUUGGUGAGAGUGGAAAGCUCAUCAAGUGACGGUAACUACCCAGAAAGGGACGGCUAACUACGUG